This is a long non-coding RNA of Tympanuchus pallidicinctus (lesser prairie-chicken), 816 nucleotides long. RefSeq lists it as uncharacterized. Lineage: Eukaryota; Metazoa; Chordata; Aves; Galliformes; Phasianidae. The transcript has 2 exons. The record is from RefSeq and is a predicted model, not a curated record.
GCCCCCCAUCCCAUCCAUUCCACCGGCUCUCGGCCACCUUCGUUGGUCGGCAGGAGGAGAUUCGAGAUCUCGGAAAUCGGCGCUUGGCUGGCACUGCCACAGGAGGGCCGGCGGUGGAGCUCCGCAGCCCGGCGCUCCGCCCUCCGCCCACUCUCGGGGGCCACACCGCGCAGCGGGCAUUGGGCGCGCUCGGCGUCCGCCUCUUUCCGUCUCUGCGAUUGUGGGUUCGCUACAGACUUUACGUGCAAGCCGUGCAGGCUGUAGAAACAGGCAGUCUCGACCAGAAAGCUUAUUCUGGAGUACAUUUACAGAAUCAUGGAAUCGUUUGAGUUGAAUCGCAGCCAUCUCGUCCAAGUGCCCUGCAAUGAACAGGGACACCUACAGCUCCAUCAGGUGCUCAGAGCCCUCCAUCCUGAUCCUGAGCGUCUCCAGGGACAGGGUGUCCACCACCUCUGGGAAAGCUGUUCCAGCACCUCACCACCUCUUUUGUAAAAAAAAAAAACAUCUUCCUUAUAUCCAGGCUAAAUUUCCUCUCUUUCAUUUUGAGACCAUUUCCCCUUGUCCCACCACAGAAGACACUGCUAAAAAGCCUGUCGCUAUAUCGUUUAGUCUUAAGGAAAUGGGAUUGGUUUGUUUGUUUUUCCCUGAGAAAUUCACUUCAAGAAGAAAAUACUAUUCUAUGUAUCCCACCUGUAAGACUGGAGUGCUGAUUUGUUUUUUCUAUACUUGAUGGGAAGCUCGCAUAGACAAUUAUAUUUGUGAUAGUAAAAUGGGAUUUUUCAAAUAAUAAAGUUUUGUAUUUAGUUUUUACAUAAA